Molecule: ribosomal RNA, 320 nt
Filed under: Streptomyces rhizosphaerihabitans
Lineage: Bacteria; Bacillati; Actinomycetota; Actinomycetes; Kitasatosporales; Streptomycetaceae
Description: bacterial SSU rRNA
Rfam family: Bacterial small subunit ribosomal RNA
Source: RNAcentral
GUGGGCAAUCUGCCCUUCACUCUGGGACAAGCCCUGGAAACGGGGUCUAAUACCGGAUAACACUCCUGCCCGCAUGGGUGGGGGUUAAAAGCUCCGGCGGUGAAGGAUGAGCCCGCGGCCUAUCAGCUUGUUGGUGAGGUAGUGGCUCACCAAGGCGACGACGGGUAGCCGGCCUGAGAGGGCGACCGGCCACACUGGGACUGAGACACGGCCCAGACUCCUACGGGAGGCAGCAGUGGGGAAUAUUGCACAAUGGGCGAAAGCCUGAUGCAGCGACGCCGCGUGAGGGAUGACGGCCUUCGGGUUGUAAACCUCUUUCA